This 253-nucleotide ribosomal RNA is filed under the name uncultured bacterium. Its description in RNAcentral is "partial 16S ribosomal RNA". It matches the Rfam family "Bacterial small subunit ribosomal RNA", at positions 524 to 776 of the family's 1533-position model. The record is from RNAcentral.
UACGUAGGGGGCAAGCGUUGUCCGGAUUUAUUGGGCGUAAAGAGCGUGUAGGCGGCCAGACAGGUCAGCUGUGAAAACUCGAGGCUCAACCUCGAGACGUCGGUUGAAACCGUCUGGCUAGAGUCCGGAAGAGGAGAGUGGAAUUCCCGGUGUAGCGGUGAAGUGCGCAGAUAUCGGGAAGAACACCCGUGGCGAAGGCGGCUCUCUGGGACGGUACUGACGCUGAGACGCGAAAGCGUGGGGAGCGAACAGG